RNAcentral lists this long non-coding RNA (8158 nucleotides) under Sorghum bicolor (sorghum). RNAcentral describes it as "long non-coding RNA (SBIC_LNC008256)". The stretch from base 6891 to 6997 matches the Rfam family "Plant small nucleolar RNA R71". Lineage: Eukaryota; Viridiplantae; Streptophyta; Magnoliopsida; Poales; Poaceae. The record is from RNAcentral.
UAUUUUAUGAGACAUUUAAGUUCAGUGGCAAUUCUGUAAAUAGCAGGAAACAUAUUUUCCUUUCAAACCGACAAAAAUACGUAUUCAAUGUUGAGAAAAUGUAUUCAGCGGAAUACGCUAGGGACUGCGGGAUUCAUUACCAGAAUCGGCAAGGACUCUUUAGCAAAACUGGCUCCGAAACGUUAUUUUCUAAUCUCGGGCGUUGACUCAGGAUCGGACGGCUCAGAUCGCGUCUGGGGAAGGGUUGGCCGUCCUCCUCGCCGGAGCAGGCUCCUCCACGGCGGCGCGCCAUGGCCGGAGGCCUCAAGCUCAUCGGAGCUUCUCGGUUUCGUGUUUCCGAGAACAUGAGCAACACCAAGACCUUCGGGAGAUAGAGGAAGACAUCGCGAGUUCACCCACCGGCGGCUUUACUCGGGCUGCGAGCUAGCGGGGUGGUGAGACCACGCGCGAUGGCGGAAGAUUUCCCGACGAGAUCCGAAAGCGCGUGGUUUAGGGCGGCUAGGGCUUGGUUUUGCGGCGGAAACAGAGAGCAACACGCGGGGGCACUACAAGGGACUUUAUAGGGCUCAGCGUUGCGCGUUUUGGCAAGGAAUCCCGAGAAAUCGGGUUCGAUUAGCUCACGGCCGUGUCCGGCUCGCUCACGACGAGAGGAAGGAGAGAGUGCUGUCGGGUGGGGCCAGCGCGACAGUGAGAUAGGAAGAGAGAGGGGAAACGCCGACAGGCGGGGCCCAAUUGUCAGCAAAAGAAAAAGAGAGGGAAAGGGCGCACGCUGGGCUGGGGGAAAUGGGCCAGGGCGCUGCUGCUGGUUUGCUGGGCCAAAGCCGCGAGUGCAGAGAGGGGGUGCUGGGCUGCGGCUUCUGGGCCGAGAGAAGGAGAGUGGGACGAGGGGGGGAGAAAGGAGCGGGCCUUCGGCUGAGAGGGAGGGUUUUUUUUUCUUUUUUUUAUUUCUAUUUUCUUUUCUAGUUUCUAAAGCCUUUUUUUUAAUAGUUUUGAGUUCUUUUAAUUCUCAAACAAAACACACAACACAAAAACAAUCCAGUGUUGGGUAUUCUUAACAUCAUUACCAAAAGUAGACUAAGUUCUCUAAAUCUAGUAACGGUGCCAAAAAUGCCAAACCUAUCCCUUACACCACUUAAGCCAAGUUGUCAUCCCCAGCAUGAUAUAAGAGACGUGGUAUUGAAAUAUGCAAUUGCUCUUCUAAAUAAAUAAUGAAUGGGAUCUGCAAGCGCACAGAUUAAUACCGAUGUAGCAUUUUAACCGGGAAGUAUUCCAGGUAUCGUUAUUUAUAUUUUUACCACUGGGAAGGGAUUAGCGAUCAUCACUAUUGAUUACAGAAUAGAAUAUGAGAUUGAGCAUAUAUCAUUACAUGUAUAAUUGAGAACAUUAUAUCUAACUCUUCAUACAGGGAUAAAUGUCACAUAAAAGAUAUAUGAAAUAAUAAUAGUGACAAGGAUAACUAAUCUGAUCUAGCCACAUAAUAAAUAUGAUAAGCACCUCAAUUAGAUACUCUAGAAAGUCAUUAGCAUGGUAUUAGAACGAACUACAAGAAUAUUCCCUAAGUUAUUCUUAACUAUAUAGUCUAGCAUAUCAUAGUUAGUGCAAGCAUACUUAGCAAUCAUUGUGAGACAAGACUACGCCCAUGCAUAGUGAUAUUAGCAAGGAAUAUGAGAAACAUAGCAAUCACACCCCUGUAAUAAUGUUGCUCUGCCAGCCCAAUACACGAGAGGGGGACUAUAUAAGAAUCAAUGAAGCUGUCACUAUCACGAACCACCCCACGAUCUAGCAUAUUGGGUACAAUCGCAGAUAAAUACGGUAUAAGCACCAGGCCUACACAAUAUCUAUCAUUUACCCAUGGAUCCGAUGGAUAAACGUUAUACGAUCCUAAGCAUGUAUAUAGAUCCAAUCUAACUAAGCCAAGUACAUAACUAUGAUAAACUAAGAACAAUAUAAUCUUGAAUAUAAGCAAGUAGAGCAAAGUCAUAAACAAUAUAUUGAAGUAGAAGAGUCAUAUUCAUAAUAUUGAAGAACAAAGAUAAUUAGAAAGCAAUUAGAAGCACAAUUAGAGAAUUACCAAGAAUCCUCUUGACAGAUCCGGAAACCAAUCGAAGAUUGACUCCUUCUAGUUCUAAUCCUAUGUAGCUAUGCUAAUCUAGAUAUCUAAUUGAUGUGGUGGCUCUAAUCUUGAUCAGAGGCUUCUUCUCCCUUGAUGGAACAAUGAAUUAGGGUUGAGAGGCUCUCCCCUCCAGGGGUCAGGGGGUCUGGUUUUAUAGUCCCUUCAAGUGAAUAUGGGCCCUUGGAUCAAACCGACAUAGAUUGUAUGGUUUAGAUUCAUCCUUUAGGUCGGUGGAAAUCUCCCGCGAAGCAGAGUCCUGAUUGGACUCAGGGGCAGGGUGGGCGCCCUGACCAACUGGGCGGCCGCCCAGGGUCAGGCCCCGUUUCGCCUCCGCUUCGGUCUCGUGGCUUCUGUAGUCUUCUAGAUGUAAGAUAAUUGCGCAGCACGUUAAUAUCUUUACGUAAUCCCGACAUGUGGGCCUUUCUUCCAUAUUUCCUGAUAACCCCCUGCAGAAAUAGACAAACACCAAAACUCGUGGAAUUCUGUCAGAUAAAACCCUAAGUCUAGAUGUUGAUUUCAUUUAGAUCUUUUUCUUUAUUUAUUUGAUAAUUAAAUUUGAUACUUAAGGACCGUCAGCAAACUCCCCAAGCUUACCUCUUGCUCAUCCCUGAGCAAGGAUAGACUCAGCUAUGGUUCAUAAGUUGUUGCAAUAUCUUUAAAAUUUGAUGGUACACAUGCUUUUAAAAUAAUAUCUCAUCUCUGAGUAAGAGUAAACUGUCAAGACUUAAAACUUACUUACUUUACCUUCACCAUGGGACUUGUAACUGUCACUUCUGUCUUGAGUGGUUAAAAGAUAGAACAGUCUAAUCAAGUGCCAUGUCUCUUAUUCUUGAUCAGCUAUAGCUCUGGAGUUUUUGCAGAUUUUCAAAUAAAACUCAGAGAUUCCUUGUAUGAUUCUCUCAGGUCUCUUCUUUUGUGGUAUUUUUGGAUCCUUACCAAGGCAGUGAUGGUAUAUGCCUUCUCUCAAGAUAUGUAGUAUUUGUGGUAUGAGGCAUAGUGACAUUGCCUUCUCUCUCACCCUACUCUAAUAAGGCUUUAAUAUCUGGAGCUCAUAGGUGGGAGAUAAAAUAUACAUACUUACAAGACAUUUAUUGCAUAGUCAAACCAUGGAUCCAAAGAAACAAAUCAAUAAGCCAAAUCAAGAUGUGCAUGUGUGGCGAAUGAAUAGUGUAUGGUGAUGAUGGUGAUAACAAUGGUGAAAACAAUGGUGGUGGAAGUCUAAUUCUACUUUGCUCUUUGAGGGGAUACAUACCUUCCUUGCUUUUGAAACUUUAUGAGGAGAAUGAGAUGCUCUUCUUUUUCUUGUCUCUCAGGUGGGUAUCUUGUACCCCUAAUUCUACUGUCGGAUACUUGUCCAUCUUUACCUCUCGUCUCACUUUUUCUUUUCUUUCGAGGUUCCGAGCACUUGCUCCUUUUUAUUUCCUCGUAUCUCUCUUUUUUUUAGAGCAUUCAUCUCUUGAGAUAAUAUAGCAAGUGGUAGUAACAAGAUAACUUGAGCAUUUCUUUCACAAGGGGAAACAGAAAUAUUUUUGGUUAUUCUCUCCCGGAUUAGGAGUAGAAUAUUUUUGGGUGAUUCUGGAGAUGGAAUGGGUGGAUAUAUAUGGAUGGUACUUCCGGAGUAGAAGUAGCAUAUAUGAGUGAACGUGCAAGUGAAAUCUUGAUUUAACCACAAGACAAGCUCCUAAGGGUCUACACAGCCUGACCACACUCAAUGCUCAUAAGCAGUAAGUAACAAAUGUGUGGCUCAAAGUCUAGCAAGCAUGUAUAUAUGGCUGUGGUAGGAAUUUAAACUCUCAUCAUACAGGAACUCAUCAUGCAACAUUUUAAAGAUUUUUAAAGAUAAAAUUCUCCAGAAUUCUAGCAUCUCUAGGAACAGAUAAACAGUAGCUCAACCUUCCCAUAUCAUAUCCGUUAACAACUUAGACUUCAGAUCAAAUUUUCAUCCCACAAGUUUAGGUCUAGAGUAAGCUUUAAAUUAUAACAGUUAUAUCUAAACUUGAGAGAGAACUUAAAAUUUGCAAAUUAGGCAGAGCAACUAUUUAUCAUAUCCAUGCUUAAGUUUUAUUUAGAUAUAGAUUAGCAUAGCCACUUUAUUUAUUUAUUAAACUCACUAAGCAAAAGACAUAUAUAUAUAAGCAUAAAAUCUUUAUUUGGUUUUCCAUAGUUUAUGUGUAUUUAUAUUUUAAAAUAAUAUAAGUAUAAAGAUAGAUAGAAAUACUUAUCGAGAUAAAUGGGGGUGCUCUCCCCCAAGCUGAAUUUUGACGUAAUUUCUCUUGAUGUAGCUAGCAGGUGGCAGAGGUGUAUUUGAAAGUCAGCAGCAUUCUGACAGUGAUUACAAUGUCCUCCGUCUGCUAGUCUUCUUGAUUCUUAAAUUCUGUGGAGCUCAAAAUAGACAACAAAGCUUGUGGAACUGAUUAAGUGUUAGCAUAAAUAUCUAGCCUUUAUCAUGUUGAGACUCCUUAAUAAUUAUUACUCCCUGUUUUUAUAUUUUCAUUUUAUAAAUUAGAAAAAUAUUUAUUUUAUUUUUAUGCCACCACAGUGAAUGUACUUAUGGGUUUUAUGCCACUCGUCUACUCACAUGGGGCUUACUGUUUUUCAUAUUUUUAUUUUCUUUUUUUAAGAUAGUAUAAAACAUGAUUAACUAAGUAAACUAUUUGAAAUAAUUGAAAGGGAAAGGAUAACUACCAAGUUUACCUCUUGGCAAGGCGUUCGGUGUUCUUAAGUCCUCCGAACGGGACUCUCCAAUUUCUUAAUCGUCCUGAGGUUCGUUGGGUGGCGUAGUCGGUACUUCCGGCAGCGCCUCCUCUUCAUGUAUACUUAUCUUCAUUUUCCACACCUGUAUUGGUGCUUCGAUCUCCUCUGGAUAAUUCUGUUUAAACUCAACGUCUUCUGACCUUACAACUUCUCCUUCAUAGUCUGCCCAUCCGUCCUUGAUGAUCUGCCUCCUCUGGUUACGGUUGCGUCGUUUUCUUACCUGCUUAGAUUCUUUAAUGAUAUAGUUAGGGUCAGUAAAGUAACGGCGUACCUUCUCUGAGGGGAAGUGCAUAUGGACUUCUCCGGUUCCAAUGUAGAUAAUUGCUUUAACGGUGCUGAGGAACGGUCUUCCAAGGAUGAUGGGUGGAUCAUACUCGUCUUCUCCCAUGUCAACAACUUGAAAGUCUGUGUAGACAAAGUGAUCGUCUAUUUUGACUGGGACAUCAGUUAUUAUUCCUUUAACUUCUGGGAAUGUCUGAUCUGCCAUCUGGAGCUGAAUGUAUGUUGGUCUUAGUGGCAUGGUCCCGAACAAGAGCCGAUAGGUGACUGCGGCCAUUAUGUUGACGCCCGAUCCGGUGUCGCAAAUCGUCUUGUAGAAGUUGUAUCCAUUUAUGGAGCAGUAGAUGCUUGGCAUUCCAGGGUCGUCCUUCUUGGUAAAAAAUGGUGACUUAAGUUGAUGAUCUUGGCCUUCAUGAACUACAGUGACCAUCUUAGCUGACUCGGUCCACACUUGCUUGUUCCUGUUUCUCCUGUUGGUCCUCUUCCUUGAUUUACGUCUGGAUUGAUCUGGAAUUUGUGUAGUCUUGUUCUUGAAGAAAAAUGUCUCCUUCUUCCCUUUGACGUAGAAACUGAUCUUGCCAGCACUGGCGUAGAUGAUAGCUCCCCUGGUGUUUAAGAAUGGCCUCCCUAGGAUGAUAGGUGCUCUCUCCUCAUUUUUUCGGUCUCUACCACUACGAAGUCUGCUGGGGCAUAUAAGGUACCAACUCAGACACAAAGGUUCUUCACUAUUCCUUUUGGGAAAGUUAUGGUCUGAUCUGCAAACUGCAAACACAUGGUUGUCUCUAAUAAAGGAUAUGUAAAGAAUUUUUCAUAGAGUACCCUCGGUAUAAUGUUGACACUAGAGCCAAAGUCGUAGAGUGCUUCUGCAACGUCCACCAUGCCGAUGGAGAUCGGGAUGACGGGGCAUCCUGGAUCGCCUCUCUUGACUGGCAACCGGUCAGUAGAAAAUUCAGUGACGGGGUUACUCCAAUUACCUGCAUCAAACACGUCUACAAGAUUUGCAGAUUCUAAUCCUUCCGGUUGUGAUGGUAUACCGGGGUUAGUAGUAGGAACAGCAGCAGCUAUUUGAUUUAACUGAGAUUCAAUCAUUUUAUUAAAGCUAAUUUGAUUCUUGAUGGCAGUAGAAAAAUUAUCCAUUCUAUUAUUUAUAUUUUCUAGCAUUUUAUCAUUAGAUGCCAAUUUCUUGGAUAGGUUAUCCAUUAGCUUUCCUUGAUUAGACACUAACUCCCUCAAAGGUGAAAAAUUACUAUUAUUGUUGUUGUAAGAAUUGUUACCUUGAUAAAUACCUGAGUAGUUAGGCCUCUGUUGAUUCCAACCUUGAUUUUGUUGAGGACGGUUGUAGUAGUUGUUGUUGUUGUUGUUGAUGUAGUUCACAUCCUCAAGCAUCUCAGGGCAGUGGUUGCCUGAGUGUCCAGUGUCUCCACACUCCUCACAAGUCAUGUGAGAGUCGUAGAUGUGCAUAACUUCUUUCUUGUCUCCAGCUCUAUCAUCAAGCUUCUUCAUGAGCAGGUCUAGCUUUGCAGACAGCAUGUCUACCUCCUUCAGCUGAUGCAUACCUCCACCUCUCUUGCGUGUCUGGGUCCUCUCUUCAUUCUAGCUUUGAUUGGACGCCAUCUUCUCCGCAAGAGCUGUGGCUUGUGGUAUAGUAAGUGAUAAGAAUGUUCCUCCAGCUGCAGCAUCCAUGGUCUCUCGGGCACUGUUGCCGAGCCCAUGAUAAAACGUCUGCAUCAAUAGCCAACUCUCCAUUCCAUGAUGGGGACAUUCUAGGAUGUAGUCUUGAAAGCGCUCCCAUGCUUCUAGAACAGAUUCAUCAUUUUGUUGCUGAAAACUUGUAAUCUUCCCACGGAGAGCAUUGGUCUUGCCCAUGGGAAAGAACAUUGCCAGGAAGUUUGUUGAGCAGAGUGCCCACGUAGUAUUCUUCUCCUUUGUAGCGUAGAACCACUGCUUCGCUCUUCCUAACAGUGAGAAUGGGAAGAGGCGAAGUAGUAUAGCGUCUUUGGAAACUCCUGCUAUGGUGAAUGUGUUGCAAAUCUCCAUGUAGUGUUGUAAAUGAGCACUAGCAUCUUCGUGUGCCUUCUCACAGAACUGGUUGGAUUGCACCAUGUUGAUAAGUCCAGGCUUGAGCUCAAAGUUGCCAUCGAUCUCUGCAGCAGGUCCAGUGCGGAUGUUGUCCGUAGUGGGAGCUGAGAACUCACGGAUUGAUUUGUUCGCCAUGGCUUCGAAAUCUGAAGACAAGUUCCGGUGAUCUUCUUCAUUGGAUGAAGCUCCUUCGUGAAGUGUUGAUGAUCUCUUCUUGAGCUUGGCCCUCGUCUUCUUGAAUAGUGCUUCGGGAUUGUCAACAAAAUUUCCUGGAAGAUGUCUUCUAUUCAUACAUUCCCCUGCAUAAGAUAAAAUAGAAAAAUAUCAGGGUAAAACUGUAUGAGAGAAUAGAUAAGCUCAAUCAUAUUAGUGAUGCGAAUGAUAACUCAAAAUCUUUUAUUCCAUUCCUGAUUGGUAAUCAACCUUCCCCGGCAACGGCGCCAAAAAUGCUUGUUGGGUAUUCUUAACAUCAUUACCAAAAGUAGACUAAGUUCUCUAAAUCUAGUAACGGUGCCAAAAAUGCCAAACCUAUCCCUUACACCACUUAAGCCAAGUUGUCAUCCCCAGCAUGAUAUAAGAGACGCGGUAUUGAAAUAUGCAAUUGCUCUUCUAAAUAAAUAAUGAAUGGGAUCUGCAAGCGCACAGAUUAAUACCGAUGUAGCAUUUUAACCGGGAAGUAUUCCAGGUAUCGUUAUUUAUAUUUUUACCACUAGGAAGGGAUUAGCGAUCAUCACUAUUGAUUACAGAAUAGAAUAUGAGAUUGAGCAUAUAUCAUUGCAUGUAUAAUUGAGAACAUUAUAUCUAACUCUUCAUACAGGGAUAAAUGUCACAUAAAAGAUAUAUGAAAUAAUAAUAGUGACAAGGAUAACUAAUCUGAUCUAGCCACAUAAUAAAUAUGAUAAGCACCUCAAUUAGAUACUCUAGAAAGUCAUU